RNAcentral lists this ribosomal RNA (810 nucleotides) under uncultured Alteromonas sp. RNAcentral describes it as "bacterial SSU rRNA". It matches the Rfam family "Bacterial small subunit ribosomal RNA", at positions 112 to 924 of the family's 1533-position model. The record is from RNAcentral. Lineage: Bacteria; Pseudomonadati; Pseudomonadota; Gammaproteobacteria; Alteromonadales; Alteromonadaceae.
AAUGCUUGGGAACUUGCCUUUGCGAGGGGGAUAACAGUUGGAAACGACUGCUAAUACCGCAUAAUGUCUUCGGACCAAACGGGGCUUCGGCUCCGGCGCAAAGAGAGGCCCAAGUGAGAUUAGCUAGUUGGUAAGGUAAAGGCUUACCAAGGCGACGAUCUCUAGCUGUUCUGAGAGGAAGAUCAGCCACACUGGGACUGAGACACGGCCCAGACUCCUACGGGAGGCAGCAGUGGGGAAUAUUGCACAAUGGGGGAAACCCUGAUGCAGCCAUGCCGCGUGUGUGAAGAAGGCCUUCGGGUUGUAAAGCACUUUCAGUUGUGAGGAAAAGUUAGUAGUUAAUACCUGCUAGCCGUGACGUUAACAACAGAAGAAGCACCGGCUAACUCCGUGCCAGCAGCCGCGGUAAUACGGAGGGUGCGAGCGUUAAUCGGAAUUACUGGGCGUAAAGCGCACGCAGGCGGUUUGUUAAGCUAGAUGUGAAAGCCCCGGGCUCAACCUGGGAUGGUCAUUUAGAACUGGCAGACUAGAGUCUUGGAGAGGGGAGUGGAAUUCCAGGUGUAGCGGUGAAAUGCGUAGAUAUCUGGAGGAACAUCAGUGGCGAAGGCGACUCCCUGGCCAAAGACUGACGCUCAUGUGCGAAAGUGUGGGGUAGCGAACAGGAUUAGAUACCCUGGUAGUCCACACCGUAACGCUGUCUACUAGCUGUGUGUGUCUUUAAGACGUGCGUAGCGAAGCUAACGCGCUAAGUAGACCGCCUGGGGAGUACGGCCGCAAGGGUUAAAACUCAAUGAAUUGACGGGGGCCCGC